Molecule: unclassified non-coding RNA, 218 nt
Filed under: uncultured Thelephoraceae
Lineage: Eukaryota; Fungi; Basidiomycota; Agaricomycetes; Thelephorales; Thelephoraceae
Description: sequence contains ITS2
Source: RNAcentral
ACACCUCAACUCUCAUGGUUUGCCAUGAUGAGCUUGGACUUUGGGGGUCUUGCUGGCCUGCGGUCGGCUCCUCUAAAAUGAAUCAGCUUUCCAGUGUUUGGUGGCGUCACAGGUGUGAUAACUAUCUACGCUUGUGGUUCUCUGCCAGGUAACCUUCAGCAAUGAGGGUUCGCUGGGGCUCAUAAAUGUCUCUCCUCAGCGAAGACAGCUUUGUGAAC